CAAUUUGAAUCUUUUCUUCAAAAACUUUCGCGAUCAACUCUUCAAGACUCCAUUCAACAUUACGAAAUUCGCCAACCUAUAAAAUCCUUAACAAUAUCCCCCUUUGGCGAUUUCGUGACAAAAUAUACUACAAUGCUCGUACACAACUCAGAAACAAUAAAAAGAAGAUCAUCACAAUCACCAAACGAUAAUCUCCUGCAUGAUCGAUCCAAUAAACGAAAAUUACAAUUUUCAUAACCUUAAUACAGACUCUAUGACUUAGAUAUGGAGUCUUGAAGUCUUGAAUUAUUCCUGCAAA
Molecule: long non-coding RNA, 298 nt
Filed under: Ananas comosus (pineapple)
Lineage: Eukaryota; Viridiplantae; Streptophyta; Magnoliopsida; Poales; Bromeliaceae
Description: long non-coding RNA (ACOM_LNC044782)
Source: RNAcentral